RNAcentral lists this ribosomal RNA (250 nucleotides) under uncultured bacterium. Its description in RNAcentral is "partial 16S ribosomal RNA". It matches the Rfam family "Bacterial small subunit ribosomal RNA", at positions 102 to 353 of the family's 1533-position model. The record is from RNAcentral.
ACGGGUGAGUAAUGUCUGGGAAACUGCCUGAUGGAGGGGGAUAACUACUGGAAACGGUAGCUAAUACCGCAUAAUGUCGCAAGACCAAANAGGGGGACCUUCGGGCCUCUUGCCAUCGGAUGUGCCCAGAUGGGAUUAGCUAGUAGGUGGGGUAACGGCUCACCUAGGCGACGAUCCCUAGCUGGUCUGAGAGGAUGACCAGCCACACUGGAACUGAGACACGGUCCAGACUCCUACGGGAGGCAGCAUG